RNAcentral lists this ribosomal RNA (1136 nucleotides) under uncultured bacterium. RNAcentral's name for it is "bacterial SSU rRNA". It matches the Rfam family "Bacterial small subunit ribosomal RNA", at positions 37 to 1165 of the family's 1533-position model. The record is from RNAcentral.
UAGCUACAGGCUUAACACAUGCAAGUCGAGGGGAAACGACAUUGAAAGCUUGCUUUUGAUGGGCGUCGACCGGCGCACGGGUGAGUAACGCGUAUCCAACCUGCCCACCACUUGGGGAUAACCUUGCGAAAGUAAGACUAAUACCCAAUGAUAUCUCUAGAAGACAUCUGAAAGAGAUUAAAGAUUUAUCGGUGAUGGAUGGGGAUGCGUCUGAUUAGCUUGUUGGCGGGGUAAUGGCCCACCAAGGCAACGAUCAGUAGGGGUUCUGAGAGGAAGGUCCCCCACAUUGGAACUGAGACACGGUCCAAACUCCUACGGGAGGCAGCAGUGAGGAAUAUUGGUCAAUGGGCGAGAGCCUGAACCAGCCAAGUAGCGUGCAGGAAGACGGCCCUAUGGGUUGUAAACUGCUUUUAUAAGGGAAUAAAGUGAGUCUCGUGAGACUUUUUGCAUGUACCUUAUGAAUAAGGACCGGCUAAUUCCGUGCCAGCAGCCGCGGUAAUACGGAAGGUCCGGGCGUUAUCCGGAUUUAUUGGGUUUAAAGGGAGCGUAGGCCGGAGAUUAAGCGUGUUGUGAAAUGUAGAUGCUCAACAUCUGAACUGCAGCGCGAACUGGUUUCCUUGAGUACGCACAAAGUGGGCGGAAUUCGUGGUGUAGCGGUGAAAUGCUUAGAUAUCACGAAGAACUCCGAUUGCGAAGGCAGCUCACUGGAGCGCAACUGACGCUGAAGCUCGAAAGUGCGGGUAUCGAACAGGAUUAGAUACCCUGGUAGUCCGCACGGUAAACGAUGGAUGCCCGCUGUUGGUCUGAAUAGGUCAGCGGCCAAGCGAAAGCAUUAAGCAUCCCACCUGGGGAGUACGCCGGCAACGGUGAAACUCAAAGGAAUUGACGGGGGCCCGCACAAGCGGAGGAACGUGUGGUUUAAUUCGAUGAUACGCGAGGAACCUUACCCGGGCUUGAAUUGCAGAGGAAGGAUUUGGAGACAAUGACGCCCUUCGGGGCCUCUGUGAAGGUGCUGCAUGGUUGUCGUCAGCUCGUGCCGUGAGGUGUCGGCUUAAGUGCCAUAACGAGCGCAACCCCUCUCCUUAGUUGCCAUCAGGUUAAGCUGGGCACUCUGGGGACACUGCCACCGUAAGGUG